Molecule: ribosomal RNA, 421 nt
Filed under: uncultured bacterium
Lineage: Bacteria
Description: partial 16S ribosomal RNA
Rfam family: Bacterial small subunit ribosomal RNA
Source: RNAcentral
AAUAUUGGACAAUGGGCGCAAGACUGAUCCAGCCAUGCCGCGUGUGUGAAGAAGGUCCNCGGCUUNUNAAGUACUUUAAGUUGGGNGGACGGGCAGUAAGUCAUUAUCUUGUUGUUUUGACGUUACCGACAGAAUAACCACCUGCUAACUUCGCGCCAGCAGCCGCGGGAAUACGAAGGGUGCAAGCGUUAAUCGGACUUAUGGGGCGUAAAACGCGCAGAGGUGGUUUGUUAAGUAGGAAGUGGAAGCACCGGGCUCAACCUGGGAAGUGCUUUCAAAACUGGCAAGCUAGGGGAUGGCAGAGGGUGGUGGAAUAACCUGUGUAGCGGUGAAAUGCGUAGAUAAAGGAAGGAACACCAGUGGCGAAGGCGACCACCUGGGCUAAUACUGACACUGAGGAACGAAAGCGUGGGGAGCAAAC